Long non-coding RNA from Pyrgilauda ruficollis (rufous-necked snowfinch), 801 nucleotides. RefSeq lists it as uncharacterized. The transcript is spliced from 4 exons. NCBI's taxonomy places the organism in Eukaryota, Metazoa, Chordata, Aves, Passeriformes, Passeridae. The record is from RefSeq and is a predicted model, not a curated record.
CUGUGAGCACAGUCCCACUGGAUACAAAAUUUAGAAUACAAAUUGGAGUUCUAUUUGAUCUGAGCAUGGAUGCAGGGAGCAGCCCGUGAUGGCACUUUGAGAAUAAAGUAGGAUUGGUCCUCAUCUGUAUGACUCAGGAAGAUGCUUCAAAUACCUUGCCUCAACACUUCGGUUACAGUGAUGAUUGAUCCCUAUUAUCUGCUUGUGUUGCUGAGUCAUACGCUGGAGCUCUACAAUAAAGAAGCCUUCAGAUACUGAGAAAAAGAGUUCUUCAGAGCAUUACAGGCGACAGUCCUUUCCUGUUGAUUCUGUUCAAACUCAGAAGCAAUCCGAAUGCUGUCAUCAAAUGUACUGGCUGCAGUCAAAUAAAGGUUACAGCAGUCUUUAUAUACAGCAAGUACUCUAAUUUCUUUUAUAACUUCUGGAUGUACUGAGCUUCAAUAAUUUGUUUAAAGGAGCUGCAGUGUCACAGAGAUGUGGCACUGUCUGGAGGAGGAAGAUGCUGACUCCCAGAACCAGCUGUGCACCCUCUCCCUACCUUGAUGUGUACCAGAGAUCUGCCUCCUGCUCUGACCCUGCACAGAUUUAUCACCUCCUGACACCCCUCCCAGAACAGCACUGAAAAAAGAGAUUCCUCUGCUUACAUGCCACACAUAGCACACCAAACCUGGAGAAAGAAGGCUGGUAGAGUAGGUAGGAUGUCAUUCCAAAAAGGUUUUAUUUACCGCAAUGUUUCCUUCUGAUAGUCAUUUUUAUGUGUUGCUUUAUAAUACUGGAAUGAUGUGAGAUCAUGAUGGGAAA